This 644-nucleotide ribosomal RNA is filed under the name uncultured fungus. RNAcentral's name for it is "eukaryotic LSU rRNA". The stretch from base 200 to 353 matches the Rfam family "5.8S ribosomal RNA". Lineage: Eukaryota; Fungi. The record is from RNAcentral.
CAUUAUCAUACAAAUAAGAGGUGUCGGGGCUGUCGCUGACCCUUUUAAUCAAGGGGUCGUGCACGCCCUAAGCAUCCUCACACAAUCCACCUUACCUUUGUGCAUCAUCGCGUGAGGCUCCCCUAAAAGGGGGCCUGCGUUUUUCACACAGACGCCACAGUAUAGAAUGUUUUGUUUUGCAGUCACAUGCGAUCAAUAUAACUUUCAACAACGGAUCUCUUGGCUCUCGCAUCGAUGAAGAACGCAGCGAAAUGUGAUACGUAAUGUGAAUUGCAGAAUUCAGUGAAUCAUCGAAUCUUUGAACGCAUCUUGCGCCCCUUGGCAUUCCGAGGGGCACACCCGUUUGAGCGUCGUGAAACUCUCAACCCUUCUCCCUUUCUUGUUGAACCGGGAGGAUGGCUUGGACUUUGGAGGCUUCUGCUGGUCUCCUAGAACCGGCUCCUCUUAAAGGAAUUAGCGGGGUCUCAUUUGCCGAUCCUUGACGUGAUAAUAUUUGACGUCUUUUCGAGAGGCAGAGACCUUGCUUCCAAUGGUCUCAUUCAGGGACACCAGUGAGACCCACUAAACCCCUAUUGACCUCAAAUCGGGUGAGACUACCCGCUGAACUUAAGCAUAUCAAUAAGCGGAGGAAAAGAAACUAACAA